Molecule: long non-coding RNA, 424 nt
Organism: Folsomia candida
Lineage: Eukaryota; Metazoa; Arthropoda; Collembola; Entomobryomorpha; Isotomidae
Exons: 2
Source: RefSeq, a predicted model, not a curated record
GAGCUCACAUUUUCAUCAUUCAAGCAAUCUACCAUUUUCAUAAAGGAAAACAACUCCCAAAAAAAUAGAAAAAACUCCUUAAAAUGAGACAAUUCUCAGUUAUUUUCGGGCUUCUACUCAUCGUCGCAAUUGCGACUCUUAAUCCAACCGAGGCCGCACCUCAAUUGGGGACUUGCCGUUGGGGUGGACGUGCCGCUUGUGUGGCGUCAUGUUAUGCGCAAAAUUGUGCGACCGGAUACUGUAAUGGAGAGACGUGCACUUGCUCCAGAUGCGGAAGUGGUAGCGCUCCCGUCCCCUGGGGAAAAUAAUUAUGGAGACGAGACAAAAACUAUGGACAACUGAAUUCGGCACAUUUUUCUUUACAAAAUAUGAGCAAUUUGAAUACUUAUUUUAAAUAAAUAAUUUUAUAAGUGAAACAAACACA